UUUCCGGUGGUGUAGUGGUUAGCACUGUCGCCUCACAGCAAGAGGGCUCUGGGUUCAAACCCACCGGCCAG
Caranx melampygus (bluefin trevally) is the source of this 71-nucleotide non-coding RNA. The record is from the annotation of a GenBank genome assembly. Lineage: Eukaryota; Metazoa; Chordata; Actinopteri; Carangiformes; Carangidae.